Molecule: non-coding RNA, 101 nt
Filed under: human gut metagenome
Description: THF riboswitch
Rfam family: THF (Tetrahydrofolate) riboswitch aptamer
About the family: THF riboswitch presents a pseudoknot that joins P1-P2 and the loop of P3 and two THF binding.
Source: RNAcentral
CAGAGUAGAUAUUUUAGCGUAAAGUGUCAGCGGAACGGGGAGUUGUCCGCCGAACGAAAGGCAAGGUUUCCUGCCUGCGGUUAAAAUAUCGCAUCCCGCUG